Triticum aestivum (bread wheat) is the source of this 1157-nucleotide long non-coding RNA. RefSeq lists it as uncharacterized. NCBI's taxonomy places the organism in Eukaryota, Viridiplantae, Streptophyta, Magnoliopsida, Poales, Poaceae. The transcript has 5 exons. The record is from RefSeq and is a predicted model, not a curated record.
UGUACUCAACGUCCCCCACCUCCCCACGAAUGGUUAACCUCUUCCCUCUAUCCACUUAUUCCUUGAUUAUCUACACUUCUCCACAUCACACAGCCAAACUUGUGGAAAAGGGGGGCAACACAACUUUAUCUCCUUGCAGACCUCCCUAAAAAAAAAUCUCACUGCGGGCCGCCACCACAAAUCCUCAAUCGAUCUCACCUGAUCCACCGCCGCCGCCACAAAUCCUCCAUCGUUCUCACCUGAUUUCCCUGCACCGCCGUUGGCUUGGCGCACAUCUAGGUUUCCCCACUUGAUCCUUGGGUAUGACGGUUCCCUCCCCCGGCAUGUAGACCACGGCUGGACAAGAAAUUGUCACGGUGCUGCUGGCCAUGUCCACCGCCGGCACCAUCGCGCUCUCCCUGGAAGCCCCGCUCCCCGCGCUCCAUUUUGAUAGUCACCGCAGGGAACGACUACAAGAGAAAGACGCACAAGGUGUCCGAGAUGCGCCGGGGAUGGGGAAGGUCAUGCGUCGCUGCGCCGGGAGGCAGCAUCUACUCCGCUAGAAGAAUGCUAAGCAAAGAAUUUGGAUCAGAUGUCAAUAGCGCAGGGGCAGGGGGGCUACUCGAUGGGCCAAAAAAGCCGAGGUUUGGUUGCAGUUCCCAGAUGCACAGCAGUGGUGCGGCGACUCCCAUAUGCACAACGGUGGCGCGAUGACUGCGAGAUGUACAGAAGUGGUAGUGAUGACAUUACGCGGUGACUGUGGACUGUGACGUCAAAGGACAAAACAUGGUUCAGAUUCAUAAGAUAUUUUGACGAUGCAUGGCUUAGACGUUGAUUGCAUGGUCCAGAAUGGUGCUGCAUGAUAGUCUUAUCAUCUGAUUGCAAGGUCGAGAAUGGUGUUGUUGCUGGAUAGUUUUAUCAUCUGAUUGCAAGGUCGAGAAUGGUGUUGCUGCUAUAUAGUCUUAUCAUCUGAUUGCAAGGUCGAGAAUGGUGUUGCUGUUGGAUAAUCUUAUGUUAUGUUUUAGGAUAUCAUUUCCAGUGUCAAUGUUUCAAAACUUCUAAUUUCGAAUAGUUGAGAAAAUGAUUGAAAGGUCCAGAAUUGGGCUAGUAUUGUAAUCUUUGGAUCAUGUUCUUUGUAAUGCAACAGAGGAAAUUAAAUAUAUUAGACCUUUCUCAUA